Molecule: ribosomal RNA, 633 nt
Filed under: uncultured bacterium
Lineage: Bacteria
Description: bacterial SSU rRNA
Rfam family: Bacterial small subunit ribosomal RNA
Source: RNAcentral
GGGGAUAACGUUUGGAAACGAACGCUAAUACCGCAUAAGACCACACUUCCACAUGGGAGAGGGGUCAAAGGAGCAAUCCGCUGAAAGAUGGGCUCGCGUCCGAUUAGAUAGUUGGGGGGGUAACGGCCCACCAAGUCGACGAUCGGUAGCCGGACUGAGAGGUUGAACGGCCACAUUGGGACUGAGACACGGCCCAGACUCCUACGGGAGGCAGCAGUGAGGGAUAUUGGUCAAUGGGGGAAACCCUGAACCAGCAACGCCGCGUGAGGGAGGACGGUUUUCGGAUUGUAAACCUCUGUCCUCUGUGAAGAUAAUGACGGUAGCAGAGGAGGAAGCUCCGGCUAACUACGUGCCAGCAGCCGCGGUAAUACGUAGGGAGCGAGCGUUGUCCGGAUUUACUGGGUGUAAAGGGUGCGUAGGCGGGUAAGCAAGUCAGAAGUGAAAUCCAUGGGCUUAACCCAUGAACUGCUUUUGAAACUGUUUAUCUUGAGUGAAGUAGAGGUAGGCGGAAUUCCCGGUGUAGCGGUGAAAUGCGUAGAGAUCGGGAGGAACACCAGUGGCGAAGGCGGCCUACUGGGCUUUAACUGACGCUGAAGCACGAAAGCGUGGGUAGCAAACAGGAUUAGAUACCCU